This 1062-nucleotide long non-coding RNA is filed under the name Apteryx haastii (Great spotted kiwi). Its description in RNAcentral is "lncRNA (ENSAHAG00000010642.1)". The record is from RNAcentral. Lineage: Eukaryota; Metazoa; Chordata; Aves; Apterygiformes; Apterygidae.
AUGGGACAAGGCCCUGGGCACUGGACCCCAGCCUGUGCGGAGCAGGGCAAGGUUGUGGAAGGGUAUGGGAAGACCUGGAGCAAGGGGUCUCCAAGGGCCUUGGAGGCCUUGAAGCACUUCUGUCCUCCUCCUGACUGCUGUGGGAACAGCAAGAAUAGUCUCUGGAGCCCUGUGGACAGAAGAACACUGCUUCAAAAGUGGCACAGCUCUGUCGCCAGAGGUACAGGCAGCCUAAGGAAGCCAGAGCUCCCUGGCUCUGGGACUGAGUCUACCACAGCUCAAGGAACCAGGACCUCUGAGCAGGUGCAUGUGGGUUUCUGUGUGAGGGUGUGUGUGUGCGUGUGUUUGCAUGGCACACGUACAUGCACAUAUGUCUGUGCAUGCAUAUGCAUGCAUAUGUAUAUGAAUGUGGGCACAUGCAUAUAUGUGUGUAUGUAUGUAUGUGUGUAUGUGCACACAUGUGUGUGCACAGGAGAUUGUGCAUGUGUGUGUGCCAGCAAGUGUGUGCACGCAUGCAGGUAUGUACAAGUGUACAUGCAUGUGUGGGCGCAUAGACAUGUGUAUGCCCAUGCUCAUACAGUCUUGUUCCUUUGCCCUAUGAGCCUGCUCCCCUCGCCCUUCUACAGGCGAAGGCUCUACAUAGGAGUGCACAUAGCCCCAGGAGCCUUCCUGCAGGUGUGCGCGCUCCUGCUCUCUCUUCCUUGGAAAUGCAGGUAUUUAUGUGUGAAAAUAUGGGCACAUAUUCAGUCCCUGCUCAGUGACCUUCAAAACCAUCCAGCAAAUUCAGCUUGGACACCGAGCCCAGCCAGAUGGCCCUUCUCAAGCAUGUUGGCCGUGCAAACUGGGGUUUUACUCUUGAUUCCUGCUCCUGCUCCAAGGCAGGCUCGUGAAACAGCGUAUUCAGUAUGUGCUCUGGGAAGGCAGCCACGCAGCCUGGCUCCAAGGAGGAGGAUGUGGGGAAAGUGCCAAGCCGGGGUGGGGAGGGAGGCGGGGGAAGGGACGAUGCAGCACGCUCCAGCAGCCACGGGCGAGCGGCUGAGAGGCUUUGGGAUUUUUAAUUGA